CUACUUACCUGGCAGGGAAGAUACCAUGAUCAGGUGGUUUUCCCAGGGCGCGGCUUAUCCAUUGCACUCCAGAUGUGCUGACCCCUGCAAUUUCCCCAAAUGUGGGAAAACUCAACAGCAUAAUUUGUGUAGUGGGGGACUAUGUUCAUGCUUUCCCCUG
Molecule: small nuclear RNA, 160 nt
Organism: Manis pentadactyla (Chinese pangolin)
Lineage: Eukaryota; Metazoa; Chordata; Mammalia; Pholidota; Manidae
Product: U1 spliceosomal RNA
Exons: 1
Source: RefSeq, a predicted model, not a curated record